This 24-nucleotide non-coding RNA is filed under the name Arabidopsis thaliana (thale cress). Lineage: Eukaryota; Viridiplantae; Streptophyta; Magnoliopsida; Brassicales; Brassicaceae. The record is from RNAcentral.
UGCAAACUGUAACAAAAUCAACAA